RNAcentral lists this ribosomal RNA (497 nucleotides) under uncultured bacterium. RNAcentral's name for it is "partial 16S ribosomal RNA". It matches the Rfam family "Bacterial small subunit ribosomal RNA", at positions 28 to 507 of the family's 1533-position model. The record is from RNAcentral.
GAUGAACGCUGGCGGCGUGCCUAAUACAUGCAAGUCGAGCGAACGGACGCGAAGCUUGCUUCUCUGAUGUUAGCGGCGGACGGGUGAGUAACACGUGGAUAACCUACCUAUAAGUCUGGGAUAACUUCGGGAAACCGGAGCUAAUACCGGAUAAUAUUUUGAACCGCAUGGUUCAAAAGUGAAAGACGGUCUUGCUGUCACUUAUAGAUGGAUCCGCGCUGCAUUAGCUAGUUGGUAAGGUAACGGCUUACCAAGGCAACGAUGCAUAGCCGACCUGAGAGGGUGAUCGGCGACACUGGAACUGAGACACGGUCCAGACGCCUACGGGAGGCAGCAGUAGGGAAUCUUCCGCAAUGGGCGGAAGCCUGACGGAGCAGCGCCGCGGGGGUGAUGAAGGUCGUCGGAUCGUAAAACUCUGUUAUUAGGGAAGAACAUAUGUGUAAGUAACUGUGCACAGCUUGACGGUACCUAAACAGAAAGCCACGGCUAACUACGUG